CCUACGGGGGGCAGCAGUGGGGAAUAUUGGACAAUGGGGGCAACCCGGAUCCAGCCAUGCCGCGUGUGUGAAGAAGGCCCUCGGGUUGUAAAGCACUUUCAGUGAGGAAGAACGCCUGGUGGUUAAUACCCAUCAGGAAAGACAUCACUCACAGAAGAAGCACCGGCUAACUCCGUGCCAGCAGCCGCGGUAAUACGGAGGGUGCGAGCGUUAAUCGGAAUUACUGGGCGUAAAGCGCGCGUAGGUGGCUUGAUAAGCCGGUUGUGAAAGCCCCGGGCUCAACCUGGGAACGGCAUCCGGAACUGUCAAGCUAGAGUGCAGGAGAGGAAGGUAGAAUUCCCGGUGUAGCGGUGAAAUGCGUAGAGAUCGGGAGGAAUACCAGUGGCGAAGGCGGCCUUCUGGACUGACACUGACACUGAGGUGCGAAAGCGUGGGUAGCAAACAGGAUUAGAUACCCCGGUAGUC
RNAcentral lists this ribosomal RNA (465 nucleotides) under Vreelandella stevensii. RNAcentral's name for it is "partial 16S ribosomal RNA". It matches the Rfam family "Bacterial small subunit ribosomal RNA", at positions 338 to 795 of the family's 1533-position model. The record is from RNAcentral. Lineage: Bacteria; Pseudomonadati; Pseudomonadota; Gammaproteobacteria; Oceanospirillales; Halomonadaceae.